UUAUAGUAUUGUGCUUGGCCCGAGUUGGAUAAUCCCUUUGUACAUGAGUUUUAUUUUAUGUUGUUACAUGUGAUGGACCGAGUUUGACAUAGGGUAUGCUGACCCUAGGGGUUCUAUGAGUUCAGUCAUAGUGCAUACACAGGUCAAACUGGUUAAAGGUAAAGUUUUAAAUGUUUUAUGGAUAUGUUUGAUCAUGUUUGGGAUUAUACCAGCUGUACAGGAUGCAUAGUAGGCUUGCUACGGGUCCCGGCGGCCUUAUGUCGAUCUGGAUCCUAGCGCCGGUAGCGGUCCAGAUUUUCGGGUCGUUACAGUUGUGCAUGUGAGGGUUAUGGACCCU
This 337-nucleotide long non-coding RNA is filed under the name Manihot esculenta (cassava). RNAcentral's name for it is "long non-coding RNA (MESC_LNC006224)". Lineage: Eukaryota; Viridiplantae; Streptophyta; Magnoliopsida; Malpighiales; Euphorbiaceae. The record is from RNAcentral.